Non-coding RNA from Triticum aestivum (bread wheat), 135 nucleotides. Lineage: Eukaryota; Viridiplantae; Streptophyta; Magnoliopsida; Poales; Poaceae. The record is from Rfam.
AAAAUACUCUCUUCGUUUCAAAAUUCUUGUCUUAUAUUUGUCUAAAUGCGGAUGUAUCUAAUUACAUUUCAGUGUUAGAUAUAUCCAUAUCUAGACAAAUCCAAGACACGAAUUUUAGAACGAUAGGAGUAUUUA